UACGAAGGGUGCAAGCGUUGCUCGGAAUUACUGGGCGUAAAGCGCACGUAGGCGGAUCGAUCAGUCAGGGGUGAAAUCCCAGAGCUCAACUCUGGAACUGCCUUUGAUACUGUCGAUCUGGAGUAUGGAAGAGGUGAGUGGAAUUCCGAGUGUAGAGGUGAAAUUCGUAGAUAUUCGGAAGAACACCAGUGGCGAAGGCGACUCGCUGGACAGACAUUGACGCUGAGGUGCGAAAGCGUGGGGAGCAAACAGG
RNAcentral lists this ribosomal RNA (253 nucleotides) under uncultured bacterium. RNAcentral describes it as "partial 16S ribosomal RNA". It matches the Rfam family "Bacterial small subunit ribosomal RNA", at positions 524 to 776 of the family's 1533-position model. The record is from RNAcentral.